CGCCAAGCUAGUUUAAGCAACGACACUU
Molecule: small RNA, 28 nt
Filed under: Bombyx mori (domestic silkworm)
Lineage: Eukaryota; Metazoa; Arthropoda; Insecta; Lepidoptera; Bombycidae
Description: ovarian small RNA-4887
Source: RNAcentral